Molecule: long non-coding RNA, 356 nt
Organism: Polypterus senegalus (gray bichir)
Lineage: Eukaryota; Metazoa; Chordata; Cladistia; Polypteriformes; Polypteridae
Exons: 3
Source: RefSeq, a predicted model, not a curated record
CUCGCUAAUCAUAACUAAAAAAAGAAGUCGUUAGAUAUUACCUUUUAUUACUUAUCGCUCAAAACACAUUUAUGAUUCUUACAUGUCUUAAUUAUAAGUCGUGAAGAUGGGUUAAACUUAAGACUGAAUCCUCAUUUAAAAAUGUGUCUGCUGGCUAGUCGUAAGCAAAGACAAGAAAUAAAGCCCACGCACCACAGUCCAGGAAACCAAAAUGACCGACUCACAGCUUCCGCCCCCUUCCAUGAUGAUGUUACCUCCGAGCCGCGAACAUGACGCCACUUCCUGCAGCCAUCUUUGUUUUCUUUUUGUAUAAAUACCACCGUUUAUUGUUUUGUCAACGAAUGUCGUUUAAUUUU